This 253-nucleotide ribosomal RNA is filed under the name uncultured bacterium. RNAcentral's name for it is "partial 16S ribosomal RNA". It matches the Rfam family "Bacterial small subunit ribosomal RNA", at positions 524 to 776 of the family's 1533-position model. The record is from RNAcentral.
UACGUAGGCAGCGAGCGUUGUUCGGAGUUACUGGGCGUAAAGGGUGUGUAGGCGGUUGUUUAAGUUUGGUGUGAAAUCUCCCGGCUCAACUGGGAGGGUGCGCCGAAGACUGGAAGGCUUGAGUAUGGGAGAGGUAAGCGGAAUUCCUGGUGUAGCGGUGAAAUGCGUAGAUAUCAGGAGGAACACCUGCGGUGUAGACGGCUUACUGGACCAUCACUGACGCUGAGGCACGAAAGCGUGGGUAGCAAACAGG